AUACGGAGGAUCCGAGCGUUAUCCGGAUUUAUUGGGUUUAAAGGGUGCGCAGGCGGCCAUUUAAGUCAGCGGUUAAAUCGUGGGGCUCAACCCCAUUCUGCCGUUGAUACUGGGUGGCUUGAUUGCGGUCGAGGUUGGCGGAAUUCGUUGUGUAGCGGUGAAAUGCAUAGAUAUGACGAAGAACACCGAUUGCGUAGGCAGCUGACCAGACCGCAAAUGACGCUCAUGCACGAAAGUGCGGGGAUCGAACAGGAUCAGAUACCCUGGUAGUCCGCACAGUAAACGAUGAAUACUUGUUUUCGGCGAUAUAAUGUCGGAGGCAAAGCGAAAGCGAUAAGUAUUCCACCUGGGGAGUACGCCGGCAACGGUGAAACUCAAAGGAAUUGACGGGG
RNAcentral lists this ribosomal RNA (392 nucleotides) under uncultured bacterium. Its description in RNAcentral is "partial 16S ribosomal RNA". It matches the Rfam family "Bacterial small subunit ribosomal RNA", at positions 523 to 918 of the family's 1533-position model. The record is from RNAcentral.